GGUGAAGGGGCGGGGCGGUGGCAAAGGUGCCGCCCUCUCGGGCCUCUGCGCGCGGCCGCAGCGUGCUUAUGAAUACUCAUGAAGUGGGCGGGGGGCGCCACGCACCUCUUUUCGGACGCCCUUUCCCGCUUCCUUUAGUUUGGUCUGGAGGGGCUCGGAGGUGGAAGGGGCGCCUGAGGUGGCGGCGUCGCGGGUGGGGCGUCGUCGGCAAAAGGCUCCGUCCCUCAGGAGCCAUUUAGCCCACAGGCCGAAGCCGCGCGUGACGUCAGCUGCCUUUCCCUCAGUGGGAGAUGGCCGAGGCGAGCCCCGUGGGCCGAGAUGCGAGGGGAGCCCUUGGCUGACCAGUGCCGUGAGGAACUCUUCACAAGGAACCCGCGACUUACUUCGUGUUAUUACCUCACUUACCCUACGUAAGAGGUGGAUGAGCUCUAAAACAGUAAUUUUUUUAGUAAAAAUGGAGAAGCAAAACAGGCGUACACCCCCCCCCUUCCAGUAUUUUUAACUUUCGGCUUCAGUUAUUGGGAAGAAAGCAGCCUCGGGUGGCGAUCAGCAGUACCGGACAGUAUUCGGAUCGUGUUGCUCAUUGGGAAGCAAGACCACUGAAAACGGCAGAAGCGUGGAAGGAUUGCGGCCCAUCUCUCCUGAAAACGCUACUUGUCCUUCAUACAGUAGUUAGAUAAGAGGUAGUUAAAGGGCUGGGGAGCUAUACAUAAAAUUUUAGGAGCUUAACUGAGAACAGUCAUACUAGUUUCUGCUUUUGAUUGGGAUUUUUAUAUUUUAACGUAUUUGCAUCUUGGCCUUCCCCUAUAAAAACUUCUUAGAGAAAGGUUAUAAACAUAAGAGUGAGCGAAAGCAAAGCAUGGGAAACAUCUCUGGAAUCCAACCCCUCGCCACUUUCGCUUCCAGCCUUCUCUGGCUUGAAAGAAGGUGGGGAUAAAAGAAAAUGCACACGCUUGACAUGUUGUAUAUCUGGCCUCUUUAGUUGCUGUUUUACUUUCCACUGAAUCCUACAGAAGUGAAUCUGUGCUCAUAGGAGAAAAUAGGCUGUUGCCCAUAACAGCUCAAUCACAACUAGUUCUUAGCAGAGUUGUGUAAACUACAAACAUUUGGUAGACAUGAAUAGGGAUCUACCUACUUAUAUAAACAUUUAGUUUAUAUAGACUGUUGCUUACCUUGAGCCUUCAGGCAUAAAUUGGGUAGAUUAAUAAAUAAAUUAUCCAUUUAUUUUCCUUCCACAAUGGCUGGAAUUUCGUAAAUGUUGGGACUUGAGAGUAUAUAUUAUUAGGCUUGAGCUGCUGUGCCCAGCUGUCUAUUCCCAUUAAAAACAAUGCAACUGUGUUGGAUGUUAAAGGCUGUGGGCUAGCAAUCGGGCAAUCUUUUCAAAAUAAAAUUGAUAACAAAACUUGUAUGUUAUGUAUUAAGAAAUCUAAACAUUUGUAAAAGAAAAAAAUACUGCUGCACCUUCAAGACUAGACAACUUAUUGCGCCACAAGCUGUCCAUAAGACUCUUUCAUCAGAUAGAAAAAUUAGUGCCAAACAUUUUACCACUUGGCUUGGAAUAGGCCAGAUACCUUACAAUGAGUCUAGCAGUGCUCAUGCUUGCACAUGAGCAAAAUUUAAGGGAACAGGUAAAUCUUUAAACAGGCAGAAUUAGAGAAUUGCAUCCAAUGAUAGCCUCCAGCUAGCAAAUAUGCUUCCUGUGUUAGGCGAGGCACUUGGAAUUUACUCACAAUUUUUACCCAGCGCAGCCUUUGGGUCUCCCAAAAUCUGCUCCUGGUGGUUGGGAGACCCUCUGGAGCAGAAGGGGAUUUGAUAAGGCAGAGGUCAGCAACCUUUAUCAGCUGUGGUCCACCAUCCCUCAGACCAUGUGGUGGGCCAGACUAUAUUUUGGGGGGGAAAUGAAUGAAUCCCUAUGCCCCACAAAUAACCCAGAGAUGCAUUUUAAAUAAAAGCACACAUUCUACUCAUGUAAAAACACGCUGAUUCCCGGACCUUCCAGGGGCCGGAUUGAGAAGGCAACGGGGCUGCAUCCGGCCCCCGGGCCUCAGGUUGCCUACCCCUGCAAUAAGGCAUAAACAGAAGGUUACAAUUGGUAGUGAGAAUUAGUGAAAAUGGAGUUCCUCUCCUUGCAUCAGUUGAACCAUUUUAUUAUCACAAAGCCACUACUGGAAACAACCAAUAGUAUUUUCCCACAAAUUAUUGUUGAGUAUUUAUUUACUGUUUUAUAUGUUCAAGGGCAUUACCCCCCAAAAGUAUGCCGAUAUUGCAAACUUUGUGAUACAGUAAAUGAAAAUUUAUAAAUGUGUACAUGGGAGUAACAGUUGUUCAGCUAACCAUCUUUAGACUAAGGCAGGCAAAACCAGCUGCGUCUUUAGAUUCAAGGAAAAUUACCAGUAUGGCAGUCAGCAACCAGCCCUUGAGAAAAUGUUGGGACUAGAGUCAAUAUUCAAAAAUACAUUCUUAUUUUGAUUUUUGUGAUAACUUAUGGAUAGAACAAUAAUUCUAUUUGUAAUGUUUCUAGGUAUCUCACAGUGUUGUAAAGUAUCAGAGCAGGUAGCAUUUCUACAACAGAGACAGAAAAAAUUAAGGACAUAAAAUAAAAACAUAGCCACUUUUAAAAUAACUCCCUGUUGGCUUAACUCCCAGCCACCAAAUGCCCGUCCAAAUGAAAAAGGGCUGGCAUUGCUUUUGGAAAAUGCUUGAGCUUUGGCGAAACUCCAAAAGAGAGGAGAAGCAGUUGCUGUGAUUGCCUCUCCAGGUGUCCUUGACCUUCAUAGGUUUUGCACAGCUGAUAUUGCAAUAAAGGCCAUCUUAGUAGGUCUGAAUGAUC
RNAcentral lists this long non-coding RNA (2830 nucleotides) under Podarcis lilfordi (Lilford's wall lizard). The record is from RNAcentral. Lineage: Eukaryota; Metazoa; Chordata; Lepidosauria; Squamata; Lacertidae.